RNAcentral lists this ribosomal RNA (322 nucleotides) under uncultured eukaryote. Its description in RNAcentral is "partial 18S ribosomal RNA". It matches the Rfam family "Eukaryotic small subunit ribosomal RNA", at positions 1470 to 1796 of the family's 1831-position model. The record is from RNAcentral.
CCCUUAGAUGUCCUGGGCCGCACGCGCGCUACACUGACAUGUUCAACAAGUUUCUCCUAGUUCGACAGGACUGGGAAAUCUUUGAACGCAUGUCGUGAUAGGGAUAGAUCAUUGCAAUUAUUGAUCUUGAACGAGGAAUUCCUAGUAAACGCGAGUCAUCAGCCCGCAUUGAUUACGUCCCCGCCCUUUGUACACACCGCCCGUCGCACCUACCGAUUGAAUGUUUCGGUGAAGAUUCCGGAUAGGACUGAUUUGAUUUAUUUCAUUUCUGACCUAAAAGCUAUCUAAACCUCAACAUUUAGAGGAAGGUGAAGUCGUAACA